RNAcentral lists this transfer RNA (69 nucleotides) under Ovis aries (sheep). It matches the Rfam family "tRNA". From Rfam's summary of the family: Transfer RNA (tRNA) molecules are approximately 80 nucleotides in length. Their secondary structure includes four short double-helical elements and three loops (D, anti-codon, and T loops). The record is from Rfam by way of RNAcentral. Lineage: Eukaryota; Metazoa; Chordata; Mammalia; Artiodactyla; Bovidae.
CCUGAUAGUUCAGUUGGUAAAGGAUCUGCCUGCAAUGCAGAAGACCCAGGUUUGAUUCCUGGGUCAGGA